GUAAACGAUGUCUACUAGCCGUUGGGCCUUUGAGGCUUUAGUGGCGCAGCUAACGCGAUAAGUAGACCGCCUGGGGAGUACGGUCGCAAGACUAAAACUCAAAUGAAUUGACGGGGGCCCGCACAAGCGGUGGAGCAUGUGGUUUAAUUCGAUGCAACGCGAAGAACCUUACCUGGUCUUGACAUAGUAAGAACUUUCCAGAGAUGGAUUGGUGCCUUCGGGAACUUACAUACAGGUGCUGCAUGGCUGUCGUCAGCUCGUGUCGUGAGAUGUUGGGUUAAGUCCCGCAACGAGCGCAACCCUUUUCCUUAUUUGCCAGCGGGUUAAGCCGGGAACUUUAAGGAUACUGCCAGUGACAAACUGGAGGAAGGCGGGGAUGACGUCAAGUCAUCAUGGCCCUUACGACCAGGGCUACACACGUGCUACAAUGGUCGGUACAAAGGGUUGCUACCACGCGAGUGGAUGCUAAUCUCAAAAAGCCGAUCGUAGUCCGGAUUGGAGUCUGCAACUCGACUCCAUGAAGUC
RNAcentral lists this ribosomal RNA (525 nucleotides) under uncultured bacterium. Its description in RNAcentral is "bacterial SSU rRNA". It matches the Rfam family "Bacterial small subunit ribosomal RNA", at positions 802 to 1327 of the family's 1533-position model. The record is from RNAcentral.